CUCAUUUCUAAAAAAUAUUCUGCCCCCCAAAAAAUCAAAAACUGGUGGGCUGUAAGGAAAUCAAGAAAGAUGCAUUAGUAGGUGGUAGGUAUAAAAAGGUUGACUACCCCUGAUCUAAUUAAUGUUGGAAUAUUAGUUACAGGGGUUGCCACCUACUCUUGAUUUCCUAUUUCCAGCCAAAGGAGGAGAGGGGAUAACCAUAGCUCUUUUUGGGCUUCAAGG
This is a non-coding RNA of Pelobates cultripes (western spadefoot toad), 222 nucleotides long. The record is from the annotation of a GenBank genome assembly. Lineage: Eukaryota; Metazoa; Chordata; Amphibia; Anura; Pelobatidae.